This 71-nucleotide transfer RNA is filed under the name Brachyhypopomus occidentalis. RNAcentral describes it as "tRNA-Ser". It matches the Rfam family "tRNA". Rfam says of the family: Transfer RNA (tRNA) molecules are approximately 80 nucleotides in length. Their secondary structure includes four short double-helical elements and three loops (D, anti-codon, and T loops). Lineage: Eukaryota; Metazoa; Chordata; Actinopteri; Gymnotiformes; Hypopomidae. The record is from RNAcentral.
AAGAAGGUGGCAGAGUGGCUUUGUGGUUGGCUUGAAACCAUCUUACGGGGGUUCAAUUCCCUCCCUUCUUG